RNAcentral lists this ribosomal RNA (300 nucleotides) under uncultured Caldalkalibacillus sp. Its description in RNAcentral is "bacterial SSU rRNA". It matches the Rfam family "Bacterial small subunit ribosomal RNA", at positions 496 to 795 of the family's 1533-position model. The record is from RNAcentral. Lineage: Bacteria; Bacillati; Bacillota; Bacilli; Caryophanales; Bacillaceae.
GCUAACUACGUGCCAGCAGCCGCGGUAAUACGUAGGUGGCGAGCGUUGUCCGGAAUUACUGGGCGUAAAGGGCGCGCAGGCGGCGCGUUAAGUCCGGGGUGAAAUCCCACGGCUCAACUGUGGGGGGACCCUGGAUACUGGCGUGCUGGAGUGCGGGAGAGGGAAGCGGAAUUCCACGUGUAACGGUGAAAUGUAUAGAUAUGUGGAGGAACACCGGUGGCGAAGGCGGCUUCCUGGACCGUAACUGACGCUGAGGCGCGAAAGCUGGGGGAGCGAACAGGAUUAGAUACCCUAGUAGUC